Molecule: transfer RNA, 77 nt
Filed under: Bacillus subtilis subsp. subtilis 6051-HGW
Lineage: Bacteria; Bacillati; Bacillota; Bacilli; Caryophanales; Bacillaceae
Description: tRNA-Met
Rfam family: tRNA (bases 1-60)
About the family: Transfer RNA (tRNA) molecules are approximately 80 nucleotides in length. Their secondary structure includes four short double-helical elements and three loops (D, anti-codon, and T loops).
Source: RNAcentral
GUUGGUUAGAGCAGACGGCUCAUAACCGUCCGGUCGUAGGUUCGAGUCCUACAAGGUCCACCACUAUACGGAGGAAU